AAAAUAACUAACAGUGAAAUAUAAUAUGUUUUGUGAUCACCGACAAGAUAGACGGAGAAGACGGUGGCGCUUAUAAAACUUUUUAGCUCUCGCAUCUUCUCCGACGCUAUCACCAUAAAAUCCGUUAGCUUGCCGCAUCUCUCUGACGCCAUCUGAAUCCACGAUUCCAUUCACGGCACUUCUUUUUUUUCCAAAACUCACUACCACCAAUAAUAUAAUCAUCACCACUAUCAUCGUAAAUAUCAUCUCCACCAUUGUUAAGAAUGCAAUUAUUUUAAAUAGAAAUGAACACCACUUACAAUCACCACCUCGGCAGCCGACACGUAAUCGAAACAAGAAUCACCACUACCAAUUGUCUUUCUCCAACAUAAAAUCAAAUUGACCAUGUAAAUUUUCAAACAUACACGUUUGUUCCAAAAUUUUCAUGAUAAUUUGAGAAUCUCAUUGAUGGAAAAAAAAAAAAAAAAGACAGAAGAGGAAGAAGACAUAAA
RNAcentral lists this long non-coding RNA (491 nucleotides) under Arabidopsis lyrata. Its description in RNAcentral is "long non-coding RNA (ALYR_LNC003226)". The record is from RNAcentral. Lineage: Eukaryota; Viridiplantae; Streptophyta; Magnoliopsida; Brassicales; Brassicaceae.